RNAcentral lists this long non-coding RNA (1863 nucleotides) under Macaca fascicularis (crab-eating macaque). Its description in RNAcentral is "lncRNA (ENSMFAG00000057976.1)". The record is from RNAcentral. Lineage: Eukaryota; Metazoa; Chordata; Mammalia; Primates; Cercopithecidae.
UUUUUUUUUUACCAUGCUGGACAAUAUCUAACUUUUAAAUGGAUUUUUGGACCAUUUUCAUUUAACAUGAUAAUUGACAUAGUUGGAUUUAACUGUACCGUCUUACUAUUUGUUUUCCAUUUGUCCCAUCUGUUCUUUGUUCCCUUUUCCUUGUUUCUCUAUCUACUUUUGGAUUUAUUGAAGUUAAAAAUAAUUCCUUAUCAUUUACUUUGUUGUAUUAUUAGCUAAUUUUUUUUGUUGUAAUAUUUUAGUGAUUUCCUUAGAGUUUAUGAUAUAUAUCUUUUACUUAUCAGAGUCUACCUUUGAGUGACAUGAUACAACUUUAUAUGCAGUAAAAGGACUUAAAAUAGUAUCCUUCCAUUUCUUUCUUUUUGUUCUUUGUGCUAUUGUUGUAAUAUAUUUUACAUAUUUUAAUACAUCAUGUAUGUUCUAUAGAUGUUAUCAAUUCUGCAAUAUAUUAUUAUGAUUGCUCUAAACAUUUGAUUAUCUUUUAUGAAGGUUUACUUUUUAAAUUCUUUUUAUUUACUAAUUUCGUUACUGUUUCUGCUGUUCUCUAUUCUUUUGGGUGGGUAUAGAUUUCCAUCUCUCGAGAUUUUUCUUUUGUUUGCAUCUCUCAUAGUGCAGACCUGUUGGAGAUAAAUUCUUUUGACUGUUAUAUGGCUGAAAAUGUCUUUUUUUUGUUACCUUCUUUUGAAAGGUAUUCUCUUUGAGUAAAGAAUUCCAGGUUGACAGUGAUAUUUCUUUGCAUUUUAAAGAUGUCUUCAGGGUUGCAUGAGAAGUCUGCUCUCAUCUUUGUCUUCACUCCUUUCUGUUUAAUGGGUCUUACUUCUCUAAUGACUUUUAACAUUUCCCUUUUAUCAGUGGUUUUGAGCAAUAUGAUAUGACAUGACUUGAUGCCGUGUUUGUCUUGAACCUCUUUAAUCUGUGGGUUUAUAUUUUUGUAAUAAUGAGUUUUAGGAAGGCUGACCUUGAUGUGUCAUGGGAAUAUGGGUUUUAGGAAGACUGCUCUGGACUUGUCAUGGAGAAUGGGUUUAGGAAGCUGUGGACAGUCAUGGGAGAACAGGUUUUAGGGGGACUAAUUUGGAUGGUCAUGGGAAGAUGAGUUUAGGAAGGAAGUUCUGGAUGUGUCAUGGGAGGACUUUGAGAAGAGUGACUCUGAGGAGGCUGUAUGGGAUUUCCACUGACCUAGGACAGAGUUAACUAUAGGUGUUUAAGGACAGCCUCUCACUCACAUUCUGUUUCUAUUUCAGCUUUCACCUCCCCAGAGGGGCUCCUCUGACACCCCAGGCCACUUUUCUCAUAUGCUUCCAUUGCACUGGGCAGUUCUCUUGUCUAGUAUCUUCCAUUGUUUAAUGACCUUAAGUACUUGUCUAGUAUGGAUCUCCCACUGGACUCUCAAGCUCCAUGAGAACCCCAAUACUCUGUGUGGCAGAGUAGCUAGUCAAGGUCUGUUGAGUGAGUGAAAGAGUGAAUAAGUGAAUGAACUGCACUCCAUUGCUUCCCACCCUUUCUAGUUCUCAGCUCAGUAUUUCAUUUAUGACUCCACAUCCUACUAAAGUGAGGUAUCUGGACACAAAGAAAGAGUUGAAAAAUUCACCAGAAGCUGCUCCCAGGAGGCUGCGAGGAGAGGGAAGUGCAGGAUGUGCCACUGGAGGGACCUGUUGGUUGGGGUGUCUUGGGUUGGGCUCAUGCACCAUCAGUGGCUUAAUAAUGUGCUACAACUCAGCCCUGUGAGCAUCACGCCAUACCGUGAAGUGUUGCCUCGACUAACAACACUUUGUGAAAAUUGAACAUUUGGUUGUGUGGGGUGUAGGAAGAUGAGAAAACUAAUUAUAGUUUCUUUGGGGGGGCCCGCAGCAGUUG